CCUACGGGUGGCUGCAGUGGGGAAUAUUGGACAAUGGGCGAAAGCCUGAUCCAGCCAUGCCGCGUGUGUGAAGAAGGCCUUCGGGUUGUAAAGCACUUUCAGUGGGGAAGAAAGCCUUGGGGCGAAUACCCUCGAGGAAGGACAUCACCCACAGAAGAAGCACCGGCUAACUCCGUGCCAGCAGCCGCGGUAAUACGGAGGGUGCGAGCGUUAAUCGGAAUUACUGGGCGUAAAGCGCGCGUAGGCGGUCUGAUAAGCCGGUUGUGAAAGCCCCGGGCUCAACCUGGGAACGGCAUCCGGAACUGUCAGGCUAGAGUGCAGGAGAGGAAGGUAGAAUUCCCGGUGUAGCGGUGAAAUGCGUAGAGAUCGGGAGGAAUACCAGUGGCGAAGGCGGCCUUCUGGACUGACACUGACGCUGAGGUGCGAAAGCGUGGGUAGCAAACAGGAUUAGAUACCCGGGUAUUC
Molecule: ribosomal RNA, 465 nt
Filed under: Vreelandella stevensii
Lineage: Bacteria; Pseudomonadati; Pseudomonadota; Gammaproteobacteria; Oceanospirillales; Halomonadaceae
Description: partial 16S ribosomal RNA
Rfam family: Bacterial small subunit ribosomal RNA
Source: RNAcentral